RNAcentral lists this ribosomal RNA (465 nucleotides) under uncultured bacterium. RNAcentral describes it as "partial 16S ribosomal RNA". It matches the Rfam family "Bacterial small subunit ribosomal RNA", at positions 338 to 795 of the family's 1533-position model. The record is from RNAcentral.
CCUACGGGGCGCAGCAGUGGGGAAUAUUGCGCAAUGGGCGAAAGCCUGACGCAGCGACGCCGCGUGAGGGAUGAAGGUCUUCGGAUCGGAAACCCCUGUCAGCAGGGAAGAACGGUCACUGUGCUAAUCAGCAGUGAAUUGACGGUACCUGCAAAGGAAGCACCGGCUAACUCCGUGCCAGCCGCCGCGGUAAUACGGAGGGUGCGAGCGUUAAUCGGAAUUACUGGGCGUAAAGCGCUCGUAGGCGGUAUGUCAAGUCAAGGGUGAAAUCCCCGCGCUCAACGUGGGAACUGCCUUUGAAACUGGCAAACUGGAGUGUGUGAGAGGAUAGUGGAAUUCCAGGUGUAGGAGUGAAAUCCGUAGAUAUCUGGAGGAACAUCAGUGGCGAAGGCGACUAUCUGGCACAUAACUGACGCUGAGGAGCGAAAGCGUGGGUAGCAAACAGGAUUAGAUACCCUAGUAGUC